RNAcentral lists this transfer RNA (43 nucleotides) under Camelus dromedarius (Arabian camel). RNAcentral describes it as "partial tRNA-Lys". Lineage: Eukaryota; Metazoa; Chordata; Mammalia; Artiodactyla; Camelidae. The record is from RNAcentral.
CCUUUUAAGUUAAAGAACGAGAGCCAUGACCCCUCCUUAGUGA